Pseudozyma flocculosa PF-1 is the source of this 104-nucleotide transfer RNA. It matches the Rfam family "tRNA". Rfam says of the family: Transfer RNA (tRNA) molecules are approximately 80 nucleotides in length. The record is from Rfam. NCBI's taxonomy places the organism in Eukaryota, Fungi, Basidiomycota, Ustilaginomycetes, Ustilaginales, Ustilaginaceae.
UCCGAAUUAGUUUAGUGGCUAUGACGGCACCUUGUCACUCUGCGGGCCCCUCUUCGCCGAGGAGGUGACCGGUGCAGACCCGGGUUCGAUUCCCGGAUUUGGAG